CGUGUAGGCGGCUAAUUAAGUCAGGCGUGAAAUCUAUGGGCUUAACCCAUAAAUUGCGUUUGAAACUGGAUGGCUUGAGGAUCGGAGAGGGCAGUGGAAUUCCCAGUGUAGCGGUGAAAUGCGUAGAUAUUGGGAGGAACACCAGUGGCGAAGGCGACUGCCUGGACGACACCUGACGCUGAGGCGCGAAAGCUAGGGGAGCAAACGGGAUUAGAUACCCCGGUAGUCCUAGCCGUAAACGAUGGGUACUAGGUGUGGGAGGUAUCGACCCCUUCCGUGCCGCAGUUAACACAAUAAGUACCCCGCCUGGGGAGUACGGCCGCAAGGUUGAA
Molecule: ribosomal RNA, 332 nt
Filed under: uncultured bacterium
Lineage: Bacteria
Description: bacterial SSU rRNA
Rfam family: Bacterial small subunit ribosomal RNA
Source: RNAcentral